UCGCAGAUCAGAAUGCUGCGGUGAAUGCGUUCCCGGGUCAUGUACACACCGCCCGUCACACCACGGGAGUUGGAGACGCCCGAAGCCGAUUAUCUAACCUUUUGGAAGAAGUCGUCGAAGGUGGAAUCAAUAACUGGGGUGAAGUCGUAACAAGGUAGCCGUAUCGGAAGGUGCGGCUGGAUCACCUCCUUUCUAAGGAGA
RNAcentral lists this ribosomal RNA (201 nucleotides) under Clostridioides difficile. RNAcentral's name for it is "partial 16S ribosomal RNA". It matches the Rfam family "Bacterial small subunit ribosomal RNA", at positions 1342 to 1533 of the family's 1533-position model. Lineage: Bacteria; Bacillati; Bacillota; Clostridia; Peptostreptococcales; Peptostreptococcaceae. The record is from RNAcentral.